AUGGACUCAGCCCCCAGAUAUCUAUCCAACUUUUUUUAUAUUUCUUACCAGAGCCAGAGACUCUAAUAUUCACAGUUUUUUAAAUAUGAGUCUAUCUGGAAAGAACAGAUGUGUAUAUACUGUAUACCAGCGCUGUUGAGUAGAACACCACAGAAACUCCAAGCCAUACCAACCAUAACCACUUUAAAAAGAAUGUAACAAGCUGACGACUGUGUGAACAGUAGAACUUGAUUUUAUCCAGCUCUGUAAUGUAUCUGUAAUGUGUCUCUGUAAUGUAUCUCUGUAAUGUAUCUCUGUAAUGUGUCUGUGUCUCUGGAAUGUGUCUGUAUCUCUGUAAUGUGUCUCUGUAAUAUGUCUGUAUCUCUGUAAUGUGUCUCUGUAAUGUGUCUCUGUAAUGUGUCUGUAUCUCUGUAAUGUGUCUGUGUCUCUGUAAUGUGUCUGUCUCUGUAAUGUCUCUGUCUCUGUAAUGUGUCUCUGUAAUGUGUCUGUAAUGUGUCUGUGUCUCUGUAAUGUGUCUGUAUCUCUGUAAUGUGUCUCUGUAAUGUGUCUGUAUCUCUGUAAUGUGUCUGUGUCUCUGUAAUGUGUCUGUAUCUCUGUAAUGUGUCUGUAUCUCUGUAAUGUGUCUCUGUAAUGUGUCUGUAUCUCUGUAAUGUGUCUCUGUAAUGUGUCUGUAUCUCUGUAAUGUGUCUCUGUAAUGUGUCUGUGUCUCUGUAAUGUGUCUGUGUCUCUGUAAUGUGUCUGUAUCUCUGUAAUGUAUCUCUGUAAUGUGUCUGUAUCUCUGUAAUGUAUCUGUAUCUCUGUAAUGUGUCUCUGUAAUGUGUCUGUAUCUCUGUAAUGUGUCUCUGUAAUGUGUCUGUAUCUCUGUAAUGUGUCUCUGUAAUGUGUCUGUAUCUAUAUAAUGUGUCUGUAUCUCUGUAAUGUGUCUGUAUCUCUGUAAUGUGUCUGUAUCUCUGUAAUGUGUCUGUAUCUCUGUAAUGUGUCUGUAUCUCUGUAAUGUGUCUGUCUCUGUAAUGUGUCUGUAUCUAUAUAAUGUGUCUGUAUCUCUGUAAUGUGUCUGUCUCUGUAAUGUGACUGUAUCUCUGUAAUGUGUCUGUAUCUCUGUAAUGUGUCUGUGUAAUGUGUCUGUAUCUCUGUAAUGUGUCUCUGUAAUGUGUCUGUAUCUCUGUAAUGUGUCUCUGUAAUGUGUCUGUAUCUCUGUAAUGUGUCUGUGUCUCUGUAAUGUGUCUGUAUCUCUGUAAUGUGUCUCUGUAAUGUGUCUCUGUAAUGUGUCUGUAUCUCUGUAAUGUGUCUCUGUAAUGUGUCUGUAUCUCUGUAAUGUGUCUGUAUCUCUGUAAUGUCUCUGUAAUGUGUCUGUAUCUCUGUAAUGUGUCUGUAUCUCUGUAAUGUGUCUGUAUCUCUGUAAUGUCUCUGUAAUGUGUCUGUAUCUAUGUAAUGUGUCUGUAUCUCUGUAAUGUGUCUGUAUCUCUGUAAUGUGUCUGUAUCUCUGUAAUGUGUCUGUAUCUCUGUAAUGUGUCUGUAUCUAUAUAAUGUGUCUGUAUCUCUGUAAUGUGUCUGUAUCUCUGUAAUGUGUCUGUAUCUCUGUAAUGUGUCUGUAUCUCUGUAAUGUGUCUGUAAUGUGUCUGUAUCUCUGUAAUGUGUCUGUAUCUCUGUAAUGUGUCUGUAUCUCUGUAAUGUGUCUCUGUAAUGUCUCUGUAUCUAUAUAAUGUGUCUGUAUCUCUGUAAUGUGUCUGUAUCUCUGUAAUGUCUCUGUAAUGUGUCUGUAUCUCUGUAAUGUGUCUGUCUCUGUAAUGUGUCUGUAAUGUGUCUGUAUCUAUAUAAUGUGUCUGUAAUGUGUCUGUAUCUAUAUAAUGUGUCUGUAUCUCUGUAAUGUGUCUGUAUCUCUUCUGUAUCUCUGUAAUGUGUCUGUAAUGUGUCUGUAUCUCUGUAAUGUGUCUGUAUCUGUA
Molecule: long non-coding RNA, 1943 nt
Filed under: Salmo salar (Atlantic salmon)
Lineage: Eukaryota; Metazoa; Chordata; Actinopteri; Salmoniformes; Salmonidae
Description: lncRNA (ENSSSAG00000102976.1)
Source: RNAcentral